RNAcentral lists this transfer RNA (72 nucleotides) under Phytophthora infestans T30-4. Its description in RNAcentral is "tRNA-Met for anticodon CAU". It matches the Rfam family "tRNA". From Rfam's summary of the family: Transfer RNA (tRNA) molecules are approximately 80 nucleotides in length. Their secondary structure includes four short double-helical elements and three loops (D, anti-codon, and T loops). Further hydrogen bonds mediate the characteristic L-shaped molecular structure. tRNAs have two regions of fundamental functional importance: the anti-codon, which is responsible for specific mRNA codon recognition, and the 3' end, to which the tRNAs corresponding amino acid is attached (by aminoacyl-tRNA synthetases). tRNAs cope with the degeneracy of the genetic code in two manners: having more than one tRNA (with a specific anti-codon) for a particular amino acid; and 'wobble' base-pairing, i.e. permitting non-standard base-pairing at the 3rd anti-codon position. Lineage: Eukaryota; Oomycota; Peronosporomycetes; Peronosporales; Peronosporaceae. The record is from Rfam by way of RNAcentral.
GCUCCUUUGCUCAGUUGGUAGAGCGUCAGUCUCAUAAUCUGAAGGUCGCCAGUUCGAGCCUGUCAGGGAAUC